GAGUACAGGAAGAUAAAGUUUGUGCUUGAUUUAGAAUUAGCUAGAUCCUUUGGGGGAGAGGGGAUCGAGCCGAUUUAGGGAGGAUGUUCACUGCGCGGAUGAUGCUCAGGCCAUCGGGAAAUCCAGAAACAGGCGACGACCUUCGUCAAGAGAAAAAUGAUCCUGUGGAGAAAAGUAAAUGUCGCUAGGUUGGGAUGGAUGGUAACAGGCCAAGCCCCGGACCUAUAUCUAGCCACAUUUUUUGUCAAGGAGGAAACCAAUUCUGUAGAGAAAAGUACCUCCCUGUCCCUUGCAAGGACCAGUGUCAGGCAAUCCUAGUGCCACUAUCUGGCUACUGCAUGUCAAGGAGCCAAUCCCAUGUAGAAAUAAACUGCCUCUUACUCCCUGGAUGCUAUAGCCUGAAGCAGGCCACACUCCCCAG
Molecule: long non-coding RNA, 421 nt
Filed under: Homo sapiens (human)
Lineage: Eukaryota; Metazoa; Chordata; Mammalia; Primates; Hominidae
Description: long non-coding RNA NONHSAT180518
Source: RNAcentral